Molecule: transfer RNA, 74 nt
Filed under: Saccoglossus kowalevskii
Lineage: Eukaryota; Metazoa; Hemichordata; Enteropneusta; Harrimaniidae
Description: tRNA-Thr
Rfam family: tRNA
About the family: Transfer RNA (tRNA) molecules are approximately 80 nucleotides in length. Their secondary structure includes four short double-helical elements and three loops (D, anti-codon, and T loops). Further hydrogen bonds mediate the characteristic L-shaped molecular structure. tRNAs have two regions of fundamental functional importance: the anti-codon, which is responsible for specific mRNA codon recognition, and the 3' end, to which the tRNAs corresponding amino acid is attached (by aminoacyl-tRNA synthetases). tRNAs cope with the degeneracy of the genetic code in two manners: having more than one tRNA (with a specific anti-codon) for a particular amino acid; and 'wobble' base-pairing, i.e. permitting non-standard base-pairing at the 3rd anti-codon position.
Source: RNAcentral
GGUGCCAUGGCAUAGUUGGUUAAAGCGCCUGUCUAGUAAACAGGAGAUCCUGAGUUCGAAUCUCAGUGGUGCCU